RNAcentral lists this ribosomal RNA (1289 nucleotides) under Curtobacterium sp. RNAcentral's name for it is "bacterial SSU rRNA". It matches the Rfam family "Bacterial small subunit ribosomal RNA", at positions 114 to 1414 of the family's 1533-position model. The record is from RNAcentral. Lineage: Bacteria; Bacillati; Actinomycetota; Actinomycetes; Micrococcales; Microbacteriaceae.
CACGUGAGUAACCUGCCCCUGACUCUGGGAUAAGCGUUGGAAACGACGCUCUAAUACUGGAUAUGAUCACUGGCCGCAUGGUCUGGUGGUGGAAAGAUUUUUUGGUUGGGGAUGGACUCGCGGCCUAUCAGCUUGUUGGUGAGGUAAUGGCUCACCAAGGCGACGACGGGUAGCCGGCCUGAGAGGGUGACCGGCCACACUGGGACUGAGACACGGCCCAGACUCCUACGGGAGGCAGCAGUGGGGAAUAUUGCACAAUGGGCGAAAGCCUGAUGCAGCAACGCCGCGUGAGGGAUGACGGCCUUCGGGUUGUAAACCUCUUUUAGUAGGGAAGAAGCGAAAGUGACGGUACCUGCAGAAAAAGCACCGGCUAACUACGUGCCAGCAGCCGCGGUAAUACGUAGGGUGCAAGCGUUGUCCGGAAUUAUUGGGCGUAAAGAGCUCGUAGGCGGUUUGUCGCGUCUGCUGUGAAAUCCCGAGGCUCAACCUCGGGCUUGCAGUGGGUACGGGCAGACUAGAGUGCGGUAGGGGAGAUUGGAAUUCCUGGUGUAGCGGUGGAAUGCGCAGAUAUCAGGAGGAACACCGAUGGCGAAGGCAGAUCUCUGGGCCGUAACUGACGCUGAGGAGCGAAAGCAUGGGGAGCGAACAGGAUUAGAUACCCUGGUAGUCCAUGCCGUAAACGUUGGGCGCUAGAUGUAGGGACCUUUCCACGGUUUCUGUGUCGUAGCUAACGCAUUAAGCGCCCCGCCUGGGGAGUACGGCCGCAAGGCUAAAACUCAAAGGAAUUGACGGGGGCCCGCACAAGCGGCGGAGCAUGCGGAUUAAUUCGAUGCAACGCGAAGAACCUUACCAAGGCUUGACAUACACCGGAAACGGCCAGAGAUGGUCGCCCCCUUGUGGUCGGUGUACAGGUGGUGCAUGGUUGUCGUCAGCUCGUGUCGUGAGAUGUUGGGUUAAGUCCCGCAACGAGCGCAACCCUCGUUCUAUGUUGCCAGCGGGUUAUGCCGGGGACUCAUAGGAGACUGCCGGGGUCAACUCGGAGGAAGGUGGGGAUGACGUCAAAUCAUCAUGCCCCUUAUGUCUUGGGCUUCACGCAUGCUACAAUGGCCGGUACAAAGGGCUGCGAUACCGUAAGGUGGAGCGAAUCCCAAAAAGCCGGUCUCAGUUCGGAUUGAGGUCUGCAACUCGACCUCAUGAAGUCGGAGUCGCUAGUAAUCGCAGAUCAGCAACGCUGCGGUGAAUACGUUCCCGGGCCUUGUACACACCGCCCGUCAAGUCAUGAAAGUCGG